UGAUUUUUCUAAAUUUUCCUGCGGAUAUUGAAACAUAUUUCACGUACCUAAAAAUACUUUAAAAAUUUAAAAUUGGUGUUAAAAUCCUUUUUCGGCCAAUUUCAGGAUUCCAGCACGACGACACUGCUGUGCUCCGGCAAUGGCACAGCCAUCCGCGGCGGCAAUUUGUCUCGGUUUGGCCGUUUUCGGCUGGUUUUGGUCAAUUUUAUACACAUUUCUGCGAGAAAACACGUUAGGGAGCUUCAGUUGGCCGAAAAAAAAUCAAAAAAUGGAAACCUACCGGCAGUGAGAUUUUUCAAUACGGCGGCUCCGCCGGCUCACCU
Molecule: long non-coding RNA, 323 nt
Filed under: Carica papaya (papaya)
Lineage: Eukaryota; Viridiplantae; Streptophyta; Magnoliopsida; Brassicales; Caricaceae
Description: long non-coding RNA (CPAP_LNC003794)
Source: RNAcentral